GACGAACGCUGGCGGUGUGCUUAACACAUGCAAGUCGAACGGAAAGGCCCUGCUUUUGUGGGGUGCUCGAGUGGCGAACGGGUGAGUAACACGUGAGUAACCUGCCCUUGACUUUGGGAUAACUUCAGGAAACUGGGGCUAAUACCGGAUAGGAGCUCCUGCUGCAUGGUGGGGGUUGGAAAGUUUCGGCGGUUGGGGAUGGACUCGCGGCUUAUCAGCUUGUUGGUUGGGUAGUGGCUUACCAAGGCUUUGACGGGUAGCCGGCCUGAGAGGGUGACCGGACACACUGGGACUGAGAUACGGCCCAGACUCCUACGGGAGGCAGCAGUGGGGAAUAUUGCACAAUGGGCGGAAGGCUGAUGCAGUAACGCCGUGUGCGGGAUGACGGCCUUCGGGUUGUAAACCGCUUUCGCCUGUGACGAAGCGUGAGUGACGGUAAUGGGUAAAGAAGCACCGGCUAACUACGUG
This 468-nucleotide ribosomal RNA is filed under the name uncultured bacterium. Its description in RNAcentral is "partial 16S ribosomal RNA". It matches the Rfam family "Bacterial small subunit ribosomal RNA", at positions 28 to 507 of the family's 1533-position model. The record is from RNAcentral.